UAGCCAUGGGCAGGUUGAAGGUUGGGUAACACUAACUGGAGGACCGAACCGACUAAUGUUGAAAAAUUAGCGGAUGACUUGUGGCUGGGGGUGAAAGGCCAAUCAAACCGGGAGAUAGCUGGUUCUCCCCGAAAGCUAUUUAGGUAGCGCCUCGUGAAUUCAUCUCCGGGGGUAGAGCACUGUUUCGGCAAGGGGGUCAUCCCGACUUACCAACCCGAUGCAAACUGCGAAUACCGGAGAAUGUUAUCACGGGAGACACACGGCGGGUGCUAACGUCCGUCGUGAAGAGGGAAACAACCCAGACCGCCAGCUAAGGUCCCAAAGUCAUGGUUAAGUGGGAAACGAUGUGGGAAGGCCCAGACAGCCAGGAUGUUGGCUUAGAAGCAGCCAUCAUUUAAAGAAAGCGUAAUAGCUCACUGGUCGAGUCGGCCUGCGCGGAAGAUGUAACGGGGCUAAACCAUGCACCGAAGCUGCGGCAGCGACGCUUAUGCGUUGUUGGGUAGGGGAGCGUUCUGUAAGCCUGUGAAGGUGUACUGUGAGGUAUGCUGGAGGUAUCAGAAGUGCGAAUGCUGACAUAAGUAACGAUAAAGCGGGUGA
This 597-nucleotide ribosomal RNA is filed under the name Escherichia coli. Its description in RNAcentral is "partial 23S ribosomal RNA". It matches the Rfam family "Bacterial large subunit ribosomal RNA", at positions 731 to 1324 of the family's 2925-position model. Lineage: Bacteria; Pseudomonadati; Pseudomonadota; Gammaproteobacteria; Enterobacterales; Enterobacteriaceae. The record is from RNAcentral.